Molecule: ribosomal RNA, 164 nt
Filed under: uncultured bacterium
Lineage: Bacteria
Description: partial 16S ribosomal RNA
Rfam family: Bacterial small subunit ribosomal RNA
Source: RNAcentral
UAGGGAAUCUUCCACAAUGGGCGCAAGCCUGAUGGAGCAACGCCGCGUGUGUGAUGAAGGGUUUCGGCUCGUAAAACACUGUUGUAAGAGAAGAAUGACAUUGAGAGUAACUGUUCAAUGUGUGACGGUAUCUUACCAGAAAGGAACGGCUAACUACGUGCCAG